CAAUGUUCUCUAGAAGAAAUUUUUUUUUCUUCCAGGGAGUAAUAUUUAAUAGUCAUUCAGUAGCCCCAUAGAAAGGAAGGGUACUGUACCAUUGUACCUGAUUUAAUCUAAAUUUGAUCACUGUUAUCCUUAGUGGGAGGCAAUGUAAUUUUGAUGAGAGCUAAUUACAUUUGCAUAAUGUGGAUAAACAGCGUAAUGUAGCUCAGCAACUUGUAGUCAAAUUUGAUCUGUCUGUCUCAAUGGGGUUUUACUUGUUACUGUGCUCUCAGAGUUGAAGGCUAAUUUGAAUCUUUGAUGAACAUAAAAUAAGAGAUCAUAACAGCUAAGAAGAAAAUGACUUACCUAGUUUUGGAUUCCUGAGUUACUGAGAAGAAACUUUGUUCAAAUGUAAGUGCUAAAAAUAGGGCAGUAGUUUGUAAAGAAGAUAAAGUGUCAUGUUCUGAAGCUUGAAGUAUUUUAAGUCUUCUUAAAAAUGUUUGAUGUAAAGACAACAUGCAGCUGUGAUUAAAAGUUGUUUUUACUCAA
This is a long non-coding RNA of Pogoniulus pusillus (Red-fronted tinkerbird), 525 nucleotides long. RefSeq lists it as uncharacterized. The transcript has 2 exons. The record is from RefSeq and is a predicted model, not a curated record. Lineage: Eukaryota; Metazoa; Chordata; Aves; Piciformes; Lybiidae.